This 205-nucleotide unclassified non-coding RNA is filed under the name Hevea brasiliensis (rubber tree). Lineage: Eukaryota; Viridiplantae; Streptophyta; Magnoliopsida; Malpighiales; Euphorbiaceae. The record is from RNAcentral.
GGGGAAUCCACUAGCAAAUUCUGUAAGGAUUUCAAGUAUAAGACCAGGAGUUAAUAUACAGCUUCUGGGCACCUGAGUAAAAUCACUGCCACUAAUCCACUAUGGUUUGAUUUGAUCCACAGAGAUAAUUUAUAUAUAGUAGAAGAUAUGAAGAGGAUCAUUUCGAGGAGGAUGUUUUUGUAUAAAAAGAAAGAAAAAAUAAAUC